Molecule: long non-coding RNA, 277 nt
Organism: Hibiscus syriacus
Lineage: Eukaryota; Viridiplantae; Streptophyta; Magnoliopsida; Malvales; Malvaceae
Exons: 3
Source: RefSeq, a predicted model, not a curated record
AUCCCUAAAGGUUGCACGAUACACACCACAGACCUCCACAACCACGCUGCACGCUCCACCGCUCCUUCAUGGCUUCCUCUACUCACGCAGUCACGCUUGUCGCUUGGCAGUUGGCCUUGGCUCCACCGCUUCAGGCUCCAGCCAGCUCCAAGUCAAUUGCACAAAAUAAUAUCACUGGACCCAUUCCAAAGAACCUAUAUCUUCUGUCUUUGGACAAUAAUAAUAUCUUUCGAACACUGCCUCCGGAACUUGGUGAUUUAGUCGAACUUGGAGAAUU